CCUACGGGGGGCAGCAGUGGGGAAUAUUGCGCAAUGGGCGAAAGCCUGACGCAGCGACGCCGCGUGAGGGAUGAAGGUUUUCGGAUCGUACACCUCUGUCAGCAGGGAAGAACGGUCACUGUGCUAAUCAGCAGUGAAUUGCCGGUACCUGCAAAGGAAGCACCGGCUAACUCCGUGCCAGCAGCCGCGGUACUACGGAGGGUGCGAGCGUUAAUCGGAAUUGCUGGGCGUAAAGCGCUCGUAGGCGGUAUGUCAAGUCAAGGGUGAAAUCCCCGCGCUCAACGUGGGAACUGCCUUUGAAACUGGCAAACUGGAGUGUGUGAGAGGAUAGUGGAAUUCCAGGUGUAGGAGUGAAAUCCGUAGAUAUCUGGAGGAACAUCAGUGGCGAAGGCGACUAUCUGGCACAUAACUGACGCUGAGGAGCGAAAGCGUGGGUAGCAAACAGGAUUAGAUACCCUUGUAGUC
This 465-nucleotide ribosomal RNA is filed under the name uncultured bacterium. Its description in RNAcentral is "partial 16S ribosomal RNA". It matches the Rfam family "Bacterial small subunit ribosomal RNA", at positions 338 to 795 of the family's 1533-position model. The record is from RNAcentral.